This 497-nucleotide ribosomal RNA is filed under the name uncultured bacterium. Its description in RNAcentral is "partial 16S ribosomal RNA". It matches the Rfam family "Bacterial small subunit ribosomal RNA", at positions 28 to 507 of the family's 1533-position model. The record is from RNAcentral.
GAUGAACGCUGGCGGCGUGCCUAAUACAUGCAAGUCGAGCGAACAGACGAGGCUCUUGCUUCGCUGACGUGAGCGGCGGACGGGUGAGUAAUACGUGGCUAACCUACCUAUAAGACUGGGAUACCGUCGGGAAACCGGAGCUAAUACCGGAUAAUAUAUUGAACCGCAUGGUUCAUUAGUGAAAGACGGUUUUGCUGUCACUUAUAGAUGGUUCCUCGCCGCAUUAGCUAGUUGGUAAGGUAACGGCUUACCAAGGCAACGAUGCGUAGCCGACCUGAGAGGAUGAUCGGCCACACUGGAACUGAGACACGGUCCAGACUCCUACGGGAGGCAGCAGUAGGGAAUCUUCCGCAAUGGGCGAAAGCCUGACGGAGCAACGCCGCGUGUGUGAUGAAGGUCUUCGGAUCGUAAAACUCUGUUAUUAGGGAAGAACAAAUGUGUAAGUAACUAUUCACGUCUUGACGGUACCUAAACAGAAAGCCACGGCUAACUACGUG